GCGAUGGGAUGCAUGCGAUGCGAUGCGAUGCGAUGCGAUGUGAUGUGAUAGACAGUGGCCGUGGGCAGAGGAUUAGUCACUUAGAGUGGUGGUCAGGAUCUAUGACUGGCUCCUCUGCCAUUCAGGACUGAACUGAGGCCUGAAUGGCAGCGGAGUCAGUCACAGAUGAAGGCAGGGCAAGUGUUGAGCAAAAGGGAUUGCAUUCAUUAAGAACCGCAUUCCAGGUAGAGCUAACAAAGGCAGAAGUUAUGAAUUGGGAAAGAGCUUGGAGGGUUGAAGAGACAGAAAGAAUGCCAAAAAGUGUUUAGCAAAAGGUGAGAGAGGGGUAUGGGUUGAAGUUUGAGAAGUAGGCAGGACCAGGACCUUGUAGGUAGAGCGUUUAUAUUUUAUUCCAAAUAAACUGUGAAGCAUUGAAGGGUUUUAAGUAGGUGAAUGAUGUAAUCUGUUUUAUAUUUUGAAAAGAUCACCCUGGAUAACCUAUGAAGACUGAACUAUAUAGAGACAGAAGUGAAAGCAGGAAGAUCAAUUAGGUGGCAAACUGCAAAA
Molecule: long non-coding RNA, 546 nt
Organism: Sapajus apella (tufted capuchin)
Lineage: Eukaryota; Metazoa; Chordata; Mammalia; Primates; Cebidae
Exons: 2
Source: RefSeq, a predicted model, not a curated record